AUUGAACGCUGGCGGCAUGCCUUACACAUGCAAGUCGAACGGCGGCACGGGAGCAAUCCUGGUGGCGAGUGGCGAACGGGUGAGUAAAGUAUCGGAACGUGCCCAGUCGUGGGGGAUAACGUAGCGAAAGUUACGCUAAUACCGCAUACGAUCUAUGGAUGAAAGCGGGGGAUCGCAAGACCUCGCGCGAUUGGAGCGGCCGAUAUCAGAUUAGGUAGUUGGUGGGGUAAAGGCUCACCAAGCCGACGAUCUGUAGCUGGUCUGAGAGGAGGACCAGCCACACUGGGACUGAGACACGGCCCAGACUCCUACGGGAGGCAGCAGUGGGGAAUUUUGGACAAUGGGCGAAAGCCUGAUCCAGCCAUGCCGCGUGCAGGAUGAAGGCCUUCGGGUUGUAAACUGCUUUUGUACGGAACGAAAAGGUUUGGCCUAAUAAGCUGAGCUCAUGACGGUACCGUAAGAAUAAGCACCGGCUAACUACGUGCCAGCCGCCGCUGUAA
Molecule: ribosomal RNA, 500 nt
Filed under: uncultured bacterium
Lineage: Bacteria
Description: partial 16S ribosomal RNA
Rfam family: Bacterial small subunit ribosomal RNA
Source: RNAcentral